AAUAUUGGACAAUGGGCGAAAGCCUGAUCCAGCCAUGCCGCGUGUGUGAAGAAGGCCUUCGGGUUGUAAAGCACUUUCGGUCGGGAGGAAAUGGUGUAGGUUAAUACUCUGCGCGGAUGACGGUACCGACAGAAUAAGCACCGGCUAACUACGUGCCAGCAGCCGCGGUAAUACGUAGGGUGCAAGCGUUAAUCGGAAUUACUGGGCGUAAAGCGCGCGUAGGCGGUUCAUUAAGUUGGGUGUGAAAGCCCCGGGCUUAACCUGGGAACUGCAUUCAAAACUGGCCAGCUAGAGUACGGUAGAGGGUGGUGGAAUUUCCUGUGUAGCAGUGAAAUGCGUAGAUAUAUGAAGGAACACCGGUGGCGAAGGCGACCACCUGGACCGAUACUGACGCUGAUGUGCGAAAGCGUGGGUAGCAAACAGG
RNAcentral lists this ribosomal RNA (424 nucleotides) under uncultured bacterium. Its description in RNAcentral is "partial 16S ribosomal RNA". It matches the Rfam family "Bacterial small subunit ribosomal RNA", at positions 360 to 776 of the family's 1533-position model. The record is from RNAcentral.